This 253-nucleotide ribosomal RNA is filed under the name uncultured bacterium. RNAcentral's name for it is "partial 16S ribosomal RNA". It matches the Rfam family "Bacterial small subunit ribosomal RNA", at positions 524 to 776 of the family's 1533-position model. The record is from RNAcentral.
UACGGGGGGGGCAAGCGUUGUUCGGAAUUACUGGGCGUAAAGGGCUCGUAGGUGGCCAACUAAGUCAUACGUGAAAUCCCUCGGCUUAACCGGGGAACUGCGUCUGAUACUGGACGGCUUGAGGUUGGGAGAGGGAUGCGGAAUUCCAGGUGUAGCGGUGAAAUGCGUAGAUAUCUGGAGGAACACCGGUGGCGAAGGCGGCAUCCUGGACCAAUUCUGACACUGAGGAGCGAAAGCCAGGGGAGCAAACGGG